GCCCAGGUGGCGGAAUUGGUAUACGCGCUACCUUGAGGUGGUAGUGCCGCAAGGCUUGGAGGUUCGAGUCCUCUCCUGGGCA
RNAcentral lists this transfer RNA (82 nucleotides) under Patescibacteria group bacterium. RNAcentral describes it as "tRNA-Leu". It matches the Rfam family "tRNA". Rfam says of the family: Transfer RNA (tRNA) molecules are approximately 80 nucleotides in length. Their secondary structure includes four short double-helical elements and three loops (D, anti-codon, and T loops). The record is from RNAcentral.